Molecule: ribosomal RNA, 143 nt
Filed under: uncultured eukaryote
Lineage: Eukaryota
Description: partial 18S ribosomal RNA
Rfam family: Eukaryotic small subunit ribosomal RNA
Source: RNAcentral
UGGUGGAGCGAUUUGUCUGGUCAAUUCCGAUAACGAACGAGACUCUAGCCUACUAAAAAGUUCGGGGACCCCCACAAAGGGGCCCCGCUUCAACUUCUUAGAGGGACAGGUGGCGUUUAGCCACACGAGAUUGAGCAAUAACA